AUUGAACGCUGGCGGCAUGCCUUACACAUGCAAGUCGAACGGCAGCACGGGAGCAAUCCUGGUGGCGAGUGGCGAACGGGUGAGUAAUAUAUCGGAACGUGCCCAGUCGUGGGGGAUAACGUAGCGAAAGACUACGCUAAUACCGCAUACGAUCUAUGGAUGAAAGCGGGGGAGUCGCAAGACCUCGCGCGAUUGGAGCGGCCGAUAUCAGAUUAGGUAGUUGGUGGGGUAAAAGCCUACCAAGCCUUCGAUCUGCAGCUGGUCUGAGAGGACGACCAGCCACACUGGAACUGAGACACGGUCCAGACUCCUACGGGAGGGCAGCAGUGGGGAAUUUUGGACAAUGGGCGCAAGCCUGAUCCAGCAAUGCCGCGUGCAGGGAUGAAAGGGCCCUUC
RNAcentral lists this ribosomal RNA (396 nucleotides) under uncultured bacterium. Its description in RNAcentral is "bacterial SSU rRNA". It matches the Rfam family "Bacterial small subunit ribosomal RNA", at positions 30 to 422 of the family's 1533-position model. The record is from RNAcentral.